This 112-nucleotide Y RNA is filed under the name Monodon monoceros (narwhal). RNAcentral's name for it is "Y RNA (ENSMMNG00015002140.1)". It matches the Rfam family "Y RNA". Rfam says of the family: Y RNAs are components of the Ro ribonucleoprotein particle (Ro RNP), in association with Ro60 and La proteins. Lineage: Eukaryota; Metazoa; Chordata; Mammalia; Artiodactyla; Monodontidae. The record is from Rfam by way of RNAcentral.
AGCUUGUCCGAAGGUAGUGCAUUAUCUCAAUAGAUUGUUCACAGUCAGUUACAGAUCGCACUCCUCAUUCUACUCUUGCCCCCUUCUCACUACUGCACUUGACUAGUCUUAA